ACUCUCGGCAACGGAUAUCUCGGCUCUCGCAUCGAUGAAGAACGUAGCAAAAUGCGAUACUUGGUGUGAAUUGCAGAAUCCCGUGAAUCAUCGAGUCUUUGAACGCAAGUUGCGCCCGAGGCCAUUAGGCUGAGGGCACGUCUGCCUGGGCGUCACGC
RNAcentral lists this ribosomal RNA (158 nucleotides) under Gentiana panthaica. Its description in RNAcentral is "5.8S ribosomal RNA". It matches the Rfam family "5.8S ribosomal RNA". From Rfam's summary of the family: 5.8S ribosomal RNA (5.8S rRNA) is a component of the large subunit of the eukaryotic ribosome. It is transcribed by RNA polymerase I as part of the 45S precursor that also contains 18S and 28S rRNA. The record is from RNAcentral. Lineage: Eukaryota; Viridiplantae; Streptophyta; Magnoliopsida; Gentianales; Gentianaceae. RNAcentral also lists the same sequence under 1 other name.